Molecule: long non-coding RNA, 6123 nt
Organism: Gallus gallus (chicken)
Lineage: Eukaryota; Metazoa; Chordata; Aves; Galliformes; Phasianidae
Exons: 3
Source: RefSeq, a predicted model, not a curated record
CAUGUGCAGGACCUCAUGUACCCUUAUUUCUGUGUGACACAGAAAAGCAGCAACAGCUUUUAGGGAAGACACCAACAGAAGUUUCACCAGCAACCACAGAUACAUCUGAAGAGGCAUAUGCUCAUAGGCAGUGUAUCACCUAUUCCCUUUAUCCCCAUAUUUAAACCCACAAGCUAUAGAUAUAUCUUGAGUAAUGCGAUUUUUUCCUCUAUACUCAUUAGAUUUGCAUGUCGUCUGUGUAUUUAAGAUACUUUCAGCACUGGGCAUAUGUUUACUAAAAUCCAGAUAAUGAUGCUAUAAUUAUGAGACAGAUAAACAGAACCAUGCCAGAAAACACUGGUUGUUUUUGUUAACUUAUUUUUAUUCAGCUUUUGAAUUUUAAAUAAGUAUCUUUUCUUAGCAGAGGAAAAAAUGCAGGAGACAAAUAACACUUCUUAUAAAACAUUAUCCAUAGAUCAGUUUCUACUAAGUCAUUUUUCCAUUCAAAAGCCUCAUUCAUUUUUUUCAUGUUGAUUUUGUGGAAGUUAUUAAAUAGCUUUAACUACAAUACAAUUACAAGUGUUCAAGGGAAGCAAGAAGCUUUCAGUGGGAUACAACAUUGCUGUUUUUCUGAAGAUAGUCAGUUACAAUCAAGUAACUACAAAGACGACAAGAACAUUCACAUCUUCCUGUGAUUUCCAGAUGUGCUGAUUUUAAAAAAGAUUUAGGAAACUUAAGUACAUUGUUCAGCAUUGAUUCUAGUCCAGUCAAGUUUUGACUACAUAGUCUUGGCAAUGAUUUCCUCUAAUGUUUGCAGUAGUAUUUUUUUAUUUGUUCUACUAUUGCCAUUCUGUAUGUAACUUCCCUUAAUUUUAUCAUUACUGCAAUUAAUUGUCCUAGAUAUAGAAGAAUAUUGAAAGCAGAAUUUAGCUUAGACAAAUCAGACUCAAUUCGUAAGAUAUUCACCUCGGCACAAUCUCUGCUGAAAUGUUUAGAAGCUGCCUCUAGAGGAGAACUAAAAGCAAAGAGGGAUUUCAGAAAGAUGCCUGGGGAAAGAGCAAGUUUACCUAAUCACAUAUGCCACGCCAUAAUUGCUCUUAUUUCUCUGGGUUCAGCAGUAGUGUUGAGAGCUGUAGUAUUUGAUUUGAUUUGAUUUGAUUUGAUUUGAUUUGAUUGUACUACUACAGUGUAGUACAGCUACUCACUGUACCUCCCAUUCAAAAUAAAAAAGUGGAUUAAGCUACUGUAAGGUGAUAGGUGUCCAAAAUCUGAUUGAUAUCAGCAGCCUAAUGAAAAACCUUCUGCAAGUCUAAAAAAAUUUUGUCCUUAAUUUCAGUGAGUUUUAGAGCUAAGAUUUCUUUCCUCUUAGUUUCUACCAGCAGUGCCCUAACACCUGCUCACUACAUCUGAGUGUAUGAGAUGACAUGACUCUGUGACUUCCAGCUGUGUAGCCUACUGUAUCAAAACCUAAUCCAAGGAAGAGGAUAUACAGAUGUAACUUGAAUUCAGUGAGCUCCCCACAACAUAACUUUUAGAAGCAGAAGUCCUAGCUGCUCCCAUAUGAAACAAAACACCUUGCUGUUUACAAAAAUAUCAGGAAAAAAAAAAUUGUAAAUCCUCUUUGCCAAAAUGCACGAGAAGUGAAAAGCAUGUCAGUAAGAACAAUAAAAUAGAAAUGUAAAUAAACUGUAAAUGGAAAUAUAUUCUGGGGUUAAAAAAAUAGAAAAGGAGAGGAGGGCUAGACUGGGAGAACAGAGUGUGUACAAGGUGGGUAGAUACAGUCUAGGUUACUCUUCACCUUAUAGAUGAACAUUUCUGAGCAGCAAAGGAAGACAAAGAACAGCCUUAAUAAGAGGGAGCACAUGAAGGUCAAAAAACACAUGGGUCUUAGAGACUCAUUUACUGAUUUAAUCCAGCAUUUUGAAUUUACUAAAGCUUGAAAACAGACAUGCUGGAAACCAUUAGAAAAGAAUGCUGUGAAAGCCAAUGUAAGAAGCAACUUGAUAUGUUCAUUGAUGACAGCAUACGAGCAAAGAGACCUCCACCCAAGUAAUGUGUUUCAUUUUUACAUCAUUAGCCUGGAUGGAAUGAGGACAUGGUUGAGAUCUGAACACCAAUGAUCCCCACAGCCUGUAAGCAGGAAGAUCUAUACUUCUGAUGAACCUUGGGAAAUCAUAACGAAAGUGGUAUUUAGAUAGCAAUAUCCUAAAAAUCACAGAAAUCUGGAGCUAAACAGUGGGGAAAAUUGGAAGGAACAAAGAAAGAAGUGGAAAUCUAAUGAAUCAGAUGCCAGAAUUUGGUGCCUAAAGACAUUUGAUUUCUCAGUAACUUAAGAAAGCAAUAAGGUUCAGUGUAAAUCCUAUUGAAACUUAGAUUAUUGCUUUUGCCACUGAGCUCAUGUCUCGGUAGGGCUUUCUGCCUGAAUCAGACUCUAAUGUGAGACAUUUUAAUUGUGAUUGCUGGGCUGGCAGUAAACGGUGAGCCUAACAGGCUGGUAAUACUUAAAUCAAGCCAGUGAACUGGGAGAACAGGCAGAGCAGAGGGGAACACCAAAGAAGACAAGAAGUGACAAAGUAAUGAGUUACCUGCAGUCAAGGAGGAUGGUAGUUGCUGGUAGAAACAAGUAUAAGCGUGCCUCAAAGGAAAAGUUGAUGACUUUCUGCUUUGGGGUGGUUAUUUUUUUUAAAUGUAUUUCCAUAGUCUGUUGGCCUUGUGAUGGCCUGGCCUCAGCUAUCUCAGAAUUGGCUUUAGUUUAGUUUCAGUAAAUGAACACUGAUGUAGUAAAGUACAUAAGCUGGUGCUCAAGAAAAACUCAAACUCCUCCCAAAAGUCAAAACAUACUUUUCUCUCUCCAUUUUUUUUUUCUAUAUUAGAAAUGCUGAUUUGGGAAAAAUAAAGUUUCAUAACAAGGUUAAGCAAGUGAAUCCUAUCUUAUUUUAGAUGUAGGUUCAUGAUUUUCAUCUGUAUCUCUUGCUUUGGAUUCUUCUUGCCAAACAAGCCAUUGCAAUACAUUCAGAAUCCUGCAGAGUUUAAGAUAUGUGCUCAUUAUAUCCUGUAGUAGUCAAAUACUUACUUAAAAAUAAUUUUCCCUUCUAUUUCAGACACUAAAAUCUCUGCUGAACUAUAUAGAAAUCGGUAAAGUGAAGCAAAGAAGAAAAGGUGGCUGCACAGGUUCUUUCCUUAGAAAAGGAGAAUGCUUCUUUUUUCUCCAUGGCCAAAUGCAGGCUUCUCCUUAUUUCUUUCUAGAGCCAUAUAUACCAGGACGAACAAGGAAAUUUAUCUGAAGCAGGGAACACUGCAAAAACUACUGUUUUAUAAAUGACAGAGGUCAAAAAGACCUAAAGUUGCCUAAUCCAACAUCCUUGCAAAGUAGGGGCAACUAGAGCAGGUGGCUCCAGUCAAGUUUUGAGUAUCUCUGAAGAUGGAGACCCCUCAACUUCUCUGAGCAACUUGUCCCAGUGUUCAACACCUGUACAGUAUGAAAGUUAUCUCAUGAUUAAAUGGAAUUUCUUGUACCUCACCUUGGGCCCCUUGCCUCCUGUCCUUUUAUUAGGCACCAUUGAGAAGAGUCUUGCUCUGUCUUCUUUGUCCGUAUCUCCUUCAAGCAUUUAGACACAUUGAAAAGACCCCCUCUGGGUCUCCUUGUCUAAAUGAGGAGUCUUAGCUCUAUUGGCCUCUAUUCAUAUGAUGCAUGUUCUAGUACCUCAAUCAUCUUCACACUCCUUUGACAAACUCCAGUACAUCCGUAUUACUCUUGCCCAGAACUGGACCCCACACUCCAGGUGUCUGUCACUAAGGCUGAGCAGAGGGAAGGAUCAGCUCUAUCAACCUGCUGUUCUUGCUCUGCGUGGUAUAGCCCAGGAGUCUGUUGAUCUUUGGUACAAGAGCACAUUGCUGGCUUCUGGUCAACUAGUCCUGGUCAAUAAGCUCUCUCCAGUGCUGCUUUCUAAUGGAUUUAUUAUCAGACUGAUCUGGUACACAGGAUUAUUCCUUUCCAGGGGAUAGAAGUGGCAUUUUCCUUUGCUGAGCUUCCUGAGGUUCCUUUCAAUUCAUUUCCUCAUCCUGCUGAAGUUGACCUCACUUUUUGGUGAGGAACUUGGCUCUGGAGCAGGCGCAUUCCAUGCCAAAGCAGGGAAUUGCCUCAUCUGGUUGAGUGGUAGCUCUGUCAGAGGGCAGCUGCCAGGCACCAUUGUCAUGUAUACAGCAGCGGCAUUCUGACAUCAUGGGGGCGGAGCCAGGAGCAUCAGCGGGGUCACCCCCUGUGUGUAUAAAUCCUGCUACCAGGGAAUGCAGCGACACAGAAGUAGCACCAGCAGGAUAGGCAACCAGCUAGUGCCCUGCAUAUACUCUUCUAAUCUAGACUGUGGCACUCAAUGGAUGGCUAAAGUACAGAGUUGAAGAGAAUUUAAAUACUGUACUUCCACUACAGCUUUAGAGUAGUGUCAGAUUCAGGAACACACCACGUUGAAGGAGUAUCCAUAUCUCCAGGCCAGAACUACUUCCUUUCCAAACUUUGAAAAGCUGUGGAAAAGCCUAUGGAAGCAAUGUUGGAGCCCAGGAUAGCCAGCAACUAAGCAAUGCUCAGGAACACUGGCUCUCCUGUGUUCCUAUUCGUCAUCUAUGUAGUGAUUAAAACAGUACUUUUAGUGGCCAGGUAGGCCAGCACAUCAGUAUCUGAAAUUGCCUUUCUAGUGUAGGAAAAUUGAAUAAAUACAAGUCAGAUCAAGAUUUCUAAUUUUCCACAUCUUCUAUGAUUCUGCACAUUGCAUCUACCUGAAUCUGCCCAAUAAUUACCUUUCAAGGUCAAAGGAAAAAAAAAAAACAAAAAAACUUAAUUUGAUCAUUGCUUUCUUUUGAUGUUGUUUUCAUGUUUGAUCUUAUCCAGGUAGAAAAGUAUUGGCCAGCUCCAAACAGAGGCACAAAUGACCAAGGAGGCUGCAUAAAUAUCAUCUAUGUUUUUUUGGAAUACAAACAAGGAAAGGCUGAUGGGGAAAAGGACAGUCAGCAAUGUAAGCUGUGUAGCUUCUUAAAUAAACACAGCCUACUAAAAACAGUGUAGAUAUUUAACAAAGUAACUGCUAGCAAUGAAGCAAAAUAAUGAGGUAAUGUGUGACAAUAUGCAUCAAUAUAUCAAAAUAUAUCAAAAUGUAAGUUAAUUAUAAACAUUUUGAGAAAAACUGUAUGAUUGUACACACUGCUGGUAUUCACUUAUGACCCACAGGUAAAUAUUAAAAACUUCGGACAAUAGUACCAAAAAUCACUGUAUAGCUGAUAUAUUAACUUGAUGUGCAGUCUUUGCAAUCAGAAACCCCCCAGCUUGGCUACACAGACCAUGAAAUACUGCAUUCAAAGUGUAGUUUCAGUAGCAAAUCAUAAACAGGCUGACAGAGGUAUGUCAAUGAAACCUUAAGAGCAAAAGAGUCAAGUGAAAAAAAGGAAAAUUGUAUCAGUUUAAGCCUUGGCAGCAUAGCUACUACAAACUCUUGGGUCUUUAUCUUAGUCCUGGGAAAAUGGGUUGACUCACCUCAUAAAAACUUUUCCUUUCUUCAAUGAUCUGUCAAGGUCAGGGUGACAGUUAUCACCCAGGACAAUAAGAGCACAGCCAGAACUGAUGGGAGAAUAGAAUCAUAGAAUCACCAAGGUUGGAAAAGACCUACAAGAUCAUCCAGUCCAACUGUCUGCCUAUCACCAAUAGUUCCCCAACACUAAUGCCAGUGGCUUAAGGUGGUAUAAUACUAAGCUAGUCAGAGUCUUUUGAAAACUCAAAUCAUCUGAAUGGCUAAACAACUUCUGCUCUACUGCUUCAGUCAGCUUUUGAUGGCAACUUUGCCUGAGAAAGUAUGCCAGGAUUUGGACAUCUCUAAACUUAUUUAUGCCCUCAUUUAUACUUUCAGGAUAAAAAUAUUUUCUUCUCUUAAUGUUAUCAAUCACAAUCAACAAAAACAAAAAGAAAAAAAAGGAAAAAAAAUCUUUCUGAAUAUUCACAUAUUAUAUAGAACAACAAUUGUUUUCAUGGGCUUUUAAUGAGAUUUAGCUUUAGAAAGACUUGACUGUGAGACAAUAAAAUUUCCACAAGAAGCUCAGAAGUACUAACUGCACUCGAGAAACAGACAACUUCUGUCUGAUACACUGCUCACCCUCCAA